UGCAGUCGAACGAUGAAGCCCUUCGGGGUGGAUUAGUGGCGAACGGGUGAGUAACACGUGGGCAAUCUGCCCUUCACUCUGGGACAAGCCCUGGAAACGGGGUCUAAUACCGGAUAACACUUCCGUCCUCCUGGACGGUGGUUAAAAGCUCCGGCGGUGAAGGAUGAGCCCGCGGCCUAUCAGCUUGUUGGUGAGGUAAUGGCUCACCAAGGCGACGACGGGUAGCCGGCCUGAGAGGGCGACCGGCCACACUGGGACUGAGACACGGCCCAGACUCCUACGGGAGGCAGCAGUGGGGAAUAUUGCACAAUGGGCGAAAGCCUGAUGCAGCGACGCCGCGUGAGGGAUGACGGCCUUCGGGUUGUAAACCUCUUUCAGCAGGGAAGAAGCGAAAGUGACGGUACCUGCAGAAGAAGCGCCGGCUAACUACGUGCCAGCAGCCGCGGUAAUACGUAGGGCGCAAGCGUUGUCCGGAAUUAUUGGGCGUAAAGAGCUCGUAGGCGGCUUGUCACGUCGGUUGUGAAAGCCCGGGGCUUAACCCCGGGUCUGCAGUCGAUACGGGCAGGCUAGAGUGUGGUAGGGGAGAUCGGAAUUCCUGGUGUAGCGGUGAAAUGCGCAGAUAUCAGGAGGAACACCGGUGGCGAAGGCGGAUCUCUGGGCCAUUACUGACGCUGAGGAGCGAAAGCGUGGGGAGCGAACAGGAUUAGAUACCCUGGUAGUCCACGCCGUAAACGGUGGGAACUAGGUGUUGGCGACAUUCCACGUCGUCGGUGCCGCAGCUAACGCAUUAAGUUCCCCGCCUGGGGAGUACGGCCGCAAGGCUAAAACUCAAAGGAAUUGACGGGGGGCCGCACAAGCAG
RNAcentral lists this ribosomal RNA (860 nucleotides) under Streptomyces sp. RNAcentral describes it as "bacterial SSU rRNA". It matches the Rfam family "Bacterial small subunit ribosomal RNA", at positions 56 to 932 of the family's 1533-position model. Lineage: Bacteria; Bacillati; Actinomycetota; Actinomycetes; Kitasatosporales; Streptomycetaceae. The record is from RNAcentral.